CUACAGGGGGCAGCAGUGGGGAAUAUUGGACAAUGGGGGAAACCCUGAUCCAGCAAUGCCGCGUGUGUGAAGAAGGCCUGCGGGUUGUAAAGCACUUUCGGUUGGGAGGACUGCUUCUAGCACUAAUAUUGUUGGAAGUUGACGUUACCUUCAGAAGAAGCACCGGCUAACUCCGUGCCAGCAGCCGGCGGUAAUACGGAGGGUGCAAGCGUUAAUCGGAAUUACUGGGCGUAAAGCGCGCGUAGGCGGCUAGAUCAGUCGGGUGUGAAAGCCCCGGGCUUAACCUGGGAACUGCAUCCGAUACUGUCUAGCUUGAGUACAGGAGAGGAGAGUGGAAUUCCACAUGUAGCGGUGAAAUGCGUAGAUAUGUGGAGGAACACCAAUGGCGAAGGCAGCUCUCUGGCCUGAUACUGACGCUGAGGUGCGAAAGCGUGGGGAGCAAACAGGAUUAGAUACCCUAGUAGUC
RNAcentral lists this ribosomal RNA (466 nucleotides) under uncultured bacterium. Its description in RNAcentral is "partial 16S ribosomal RNA". It matches the Rfam family "Bacterial small subunit ribosomal RNA", at positions 339 to 795 of the family's 1533-position model. The record is from RNAcentral.